UCCGCCGCUGUGGCCGCCAAGUCCUUGCCUUGCCGCCUCAACAUUGCCGUAUUUUCGGGUGAUUAAAGUGUGGGUAUGGGUUAGAUUUUUUUAUUUUAGGUUUAGGGCAAUAAGGUAAAUUCAAUACAGAUUUGUGGGCUUUAUGUGGAGAUUUGCGGGCGAUGUUUAGCAAUCCACUAAAAAAAUACUUUAUUCCAAUAUCUAUCGUACUUAUAAUUUUCAUAUCAGCUCUCAUUUCUCCAACUCCACUCACUUCUCCUCUUCUUCCUCCUCUCCUCUCAGUCUCACUUCUCUUUUUAGUCUCUCAUUUCUCCACUUCUCCUCCUCCUCUCAUCGCCAUCGUCUUCUUCCUCUGACAGAGAUGGACGCCGCCGCCGCAGCCCACCGACGCCACCGUCAUCACAAGCCCACCGACGCUACACACCGUCAAGGUUUUUGAAUUAUAGAUCUUGGUUUAAUUUAGUUUAAAAGAGAAUGAAGGCCGUCAUGUUAGCGCUGGUGUUGGCAGGGAGCGUAGCUUAUUUCUGUUUUUUCAUAAAAUUUUCUGACACAAUGGAACCAUUAAUUUUAUUGAAGAUCGACUAUCCAAUCACCUCGGAUUCUGACAGUCAAAUCGCGUCGAAUUCAACAAUCGAAACCCAUUUUCUCCAACCUUAUUUUAUGUACCGUCAUUACAAGCAUACAAUGGCCAAUAUCACUGACCAUGAGAAGUGGGAGAUUGAUAUAAACAGGAGCCUGUUAUACGGUUUAAUGACAUUAAUGAUUUUGCACAUUUUUGUAGUAGAAUUUGCUAUUCCGUACUACCGUAGAAAAUAUUAUACGAGUAAUUGAAUGAUUACUGCCUAGGUAGGAAAAGCUUUGAAAUAUUUGUAUUAGAACAAGAAAAAUUUUACUUUAUGAAGUGUUUAAUUUUUUUAGUUUAAAUUUUAUGUCAGUUUAAAAAUUCGGGUUUGGGUUU
This is a long non-coding RNA of Chenopodium quinoa (quinoa), 958 nucleotides long. RefSeq lists it as uncharacterized. Lineage: Eukaryota; Viridiplantae; Streptophyta; Magnoliopsida; Caryophyllales; Amaranthaceae. The transcript is spliced from 3 exons. The record is from RefSeq and is a predicted model, not a curated record.